GGUCGCCGGCCGCCGCGUACACGCAUUCCACCACCCUUGACUUUGAGCACCGUUAUGUUUCCUCGGCAGGGACGCCUGCCAGCGGGGACCCAUCGAACACUUGCAGUAGCAGUAUUUGUCUGAGAAUAAACACAAAAAUCAAAACUUUCAACAAUGGAUCUCUUGGUUCUGGCAUCGAUGAAGAACGCAGCGAAAUGCGAUAAGUAGUGUGAAUUGCAGAAUUCAGUGAAUCAUCGAAUCUUUGAACGCACAUUGCGCCCCUUGGUAUUCCGGGGGGCAUGCCUGUUCGAGCGUCAUUUAACCCCUCAAGCCCAGCUUGGUGUUGGGUGCUUGUCCCGCCCCCGCGCGGCGACUCACCUCAAAGUCAUUGGCAGCCCGCAUCCGCCGGCCACGAGCGCAGCACAGUCGCGAUCGAGGCCAGGCAGGUCGGCUCUCCAGAAGCAACCCCAAUAUUGACCUCGGAUCAGGUAGGGAUACCCGCUGAACUUAAGCAUAUCAAUAAGCGGAGG
Molecule: ribosomal RNA, 509 nt
Filed under: Ascomycota sp. HF-09
Lineage: Eukaryota; Fungi; Ascomycota
Description: eukaryotic LSU rRNA
Rfam family: 5.8S ribosomal RNA (bases 143-296)
Source: RNAcentral